GAUAAACGCUGGCGGCGUGCAUGAGACAUGCAAGUCGAACGAGUGACUUAGGGCUGCUCUAAGUCGCUAGUGGCGGACGGCUGAGUAACGCGUAGGUGACCUACCCCGAAGCGGGGAAUAACUGCCCGAAAGGGUGGCUAAUACCGCAUGUGAUCGGUCAUUCAUUUGAUUGAUCAAAGCAGAAAUGCACUUUGGGAGGGGCCUGCGUCCGAUUAGCUCGUUGGUGGGGUAAUGGCUCACCAAGGCGACGAUCGGUAGGUGGUCUGAGAGGACGAUCACCCAGACUGGGACUGAGACACAGCCCAGACUCCUACGGGAGGCAGCAGUCGGGAAUUUUGCUCAAUGGGGGAAACCCUGAAGCAGCAACGCCGCGUGAGGGAUGAAGGCCUUCGGGUUGUAAACCUCUUUCCUCAGGGACGAUGAUGACGGUACCUGAGGAAUAAGCCACGGCUAACUACGUGCCAGCAGCCGCGGUAA
RNAcentral lists this ribosomal RNA (477 nucleotides) under uncultured bacterium. RNAcentral describes it as "partial 16S ribosomal RNA". It matches the Rfam family "Bacterial small subunit ribosomal RNA", at positions 28 to 523 of the family's 1533-position model. The record is from RNAcentral.